GACGAACGCUGGCGGCGUGCUUAACACAUGCAAGUCGAACGGAAAGGCCCUGCUUUUGUGGGGUGCCCGAGUGGCGAACGGGUGAGUAACACGUGAGUAACCUGCUCUUGACUUUGGGAUAACUUCAGGAAACUGGGGCUAAUAUCGGAUAGGAGCUCCUGCUGCAUGGUGGGGGUUGGAAAGUUUCGGCGGUUGGGGAUGGACUCGCGGCUUAUCAGCUUGUUGGUGGGGUAGUGGCUUACCAAGGCUUUGACGGGUAGCCGGCCUGAGAGGGUGACCGGCGACAUUGGGACUGAGAUACGCACCAGACGCGUACGGGGGGCAGCAGUGGGAAGUAUGACACAAUGGGCGGAAGCCUGAGGCAGCGACGCUGCGUGCGGGAUGACGGCCUUCGGGUUGUAAACCGCUUUCGCCUGUGACGAAGCGUGAGUGACGGUAAUGGAUAAAGAAGCACCGGCUAACUACGUG
RNAcentral lists this ribosomal RNA (468 nucleotides) under uncultured bacterium. Its description in RNAcentral is "partial 16S ribosomal RNA". It matches the Rfam family "Bacterial small subunit ribosomal RNA", at positions 28 to 507 of the family's 1533-position model. The record is from RNAcentral.